This 480-nucleotide ribosomal RNA is filed under the name uncultured bacterium. Its description in RNAcentral is "partial 16S ribosomal RNA". It matches the Rfam family "Bacterial small subunit ribosomal RNA", at positions 29 to 507 of the family's 1533-position model. The record is from RNAcentral.
AUGAACGCUGGCGGCGUGCUUAACACAUGCCAGUCGAACGAAGCACUUUAUUUGAUUUCCUUCGGGACUGAUUAUUUUGUGACUGAGUGGCGGACGGGUGAGUAACGCGUGGGUAACCUGCCUUGUACAGGGGGAUAACAGUUGGAAACGGCUGCUAAUACCGCAUAAGCGCACAGCAUCGCAUGAUGCAGUGUGAAAAACUCCGGUGGUAUAAGAUGGACCCGCGUUGGAUUAGCUAGUUGGUGAGGUAACGGCCCACCAAGGCGACGAUCCAUAGCCGACCUGAGAGGGUGACCGGCCACAUUGGGACUGAGACACGGCCCAAACUCCUACGGGAGGCAGCAGUGGGGAAUAGUGCACAAUGGGCGAAAGCCUGAUGCAGCGACGCCGCGUGAGCGAAGAAGUAUUUCGGUAUGUAAAGCUAUAUCAGCAGGGAAGAUAAUGACGGUACCUGACUAAGAAGCACCGGCUAAAUACGUG